CCUGGCUACAACUCCUACUGAGCUCUGCCCCUUUCUGGGAGCUCGUAGGGCAGCCCAGAUCUUUCUUAGGGUAUGCCUUCUAUUGGAACACGAGUUCUUAGGGUGUGACUUUUCAAGCUGAGAUGUCUGCACAUGAAAGAAUUUGAGCUUUCAAAGAACUCCGGGCCUUUGCUUACCUCCUCUUGAAUUGUAGGGAUCUGAACUACUCGGAAAAGACGAAUUUACGCCGCUUUUCCAAAGGUGGGAUCUGGUUCCUUUGUUUGUACUGAAAGAUUGAUCAGAGCAGGUAAACAGACAUUUGGUGCAUAGCUAAUUAUGAGCUAUGGAAAAAUGGACAUUUUUUUUUAGUUGUUCCUAAAAGAUCAGGCUUAGGAUUCAAAGCCGUAACGCAUUUAUUGUGGUAACGCAAACUGAAGUCAUGUGAAUCGAGAACCAUAAGGGUUCCAUUAGCACACAUGGAAAGUCGAGUUGGGUCUGUAAUAGCACUGACAGUAAGUCCCAUUCAGGAGCAUUACUUCUUAAAAAUUAAACAAACCUCUCAAGUGGCUUAACGUGUAGCUGACAGUGCCAGCACGCUUCAAUUUCCAUUCAACCUGAAGUUGCCACACUCUCCAUUCUAAAUGGAAAUAGUGUUCUGCUGAUGUCACUGGCAAGCCUCCUUUUCUCCCAGCAAAAAUGUUUGUGUUACGGUGACUUCUUGAUCCCUGAGAAUACGUUUGUCUUGGUGAUCUGCUUCAGAUGCAAAUUGCUAUACCAGUCAGCUUGUGGGAAGAUAAAACCUUUCUUUAUUUUUAGUUCUGUCCAUUUAAAUCCAACGUGCAGUGCUAGAUGUUGGAAUCAACGUGGAUUCUUUCUGCUCGGAAGCCUCUGGGAAGAGAUGUCUCACCCCAGUGCUCAAAGGCUGCUUCUAAUUCUGUUGUUUUUUUAAUGUUAUUUCUUUAAGUGAUACCUAUGGAACGUGUUAGCCACCGAUUUGGGAAAUCUCCCUUGUAUCUCAGUCUUCUGUUUCUCUUGUUUCCUCCCCUGGCCUCAAAGCAGCAGCACAGCUGUGCCAGGAUACCCAGGACUGCUUUUCUGCGCCUCGUCCUUUCAGCCCCAUUGGAUGCUCAGCAGGAGCCGCUCAGUUCACACACGCAGUGCGUUCUGCCUUCCAAGAGCUUUCCAUCAGGCGAGAGGCUCUCUUCUUUUUGCCUGUUUCAAAUGUACCGUUCCACGUGUCCUACAAGAAGUCUUCACGCACCUCUCCAGGUAUUCAGGGAGAAGAAGUCCAUUUUUCUGUUGCCAUCAGACUCAGUGCUUCGUGCAGUGGUCCAUGAUGAGACCACUCAGGAAAAUACUCUUAGCUGUGGUUUCCAGCACAAGAAAUGUUGCAAAUCUGAGUUUAAAAAAAAUCAAGUUUGGCUGCUGCACAACACUUUCUCAGUUGAUUCCUUAUUAUUUAACACUUCUCUGAAGUUCAAGUCUUUCUUUUUUUUUUUUUUGUCUCCCCCCUUCAAUACAGCCUUCAUCCAAAAGACACUGCCAAAUGCUUUACAAGUAGUACAGAGAAAGAGAAAUUGUUUCUGGCACCUAUUGCAGUAGUCAGCACUGAGCAUCCUGCUUACCCAGCUCACAAAGCACAGAGCCUUAUUUUGUUAGGAUGUACAAAUGCUUCUGCUAUCAAACAAGCAAAAGGACAGCCAGCCCACCUAACCUGCUACCAGCUAGCCACCAAGUUUAGGAGAAUGAGCAAUGCCUCCACUGGGGACUUCCCUGGCAGAUCCACGUCUGAACAGCCAGGGCUGGCUUCCAAGAACAUUAAAUUCCAGCUGCUUUUCCAUCCAAGGCAAGGUUAGUUUAGUAUCCCCCUUCCUCCCUGUGUCUUUACAGCAGGAGAUAUUCUAGCCAACGUAUUCGUCAUGUUUCUGAGCCUCCCUGCUGCUUGAUUUAUGCAGAGAGGACCAGGGAGAGAGAUUCCAGUGUGAACUACCUGCAGGUGUGCAGCAGGGUGCCGCAGUCCAUGCGGACCAGCUAUGCUGGCUGAUCCCCACACGUGGCACCAAGGCUGUUCCUUUCCCAUUGGUGAGUGCUGUGAGAUGCCCUUGGUGCUUGGGAGCGCCACAGAGAGAAGCAGGAGGGUGAGGGAUGCUGAGAUGGAGUUUCCAAACUUGCAGCUGACGUUACUCACCUCA
This 2171-nucleotide long non-coding RNA is filed under the name Gallus gallus (chicken). RNAcentral's name for it is "long non-coding RNA NONGGAT008817". Lineage: Eukaryota; Metazoa; Chordata; Aves; Galliformes; Phasianidae. The record is from RNAcentral.